AUUGAACGCUGGCGGCAGGCCUAACACAUGCAAGUCGAGCGGAAACGAGUUAUCUGAACCUUUGGGGGACGAUAACGGCGUCGAGCGGCGGACGGGUGAGUAAUGCCUAGGAAAUUGCCCUGAUGUGGGGGAUAACCAUUGGAAACGAUGGCUAAUACCGCAUAAUGCCUACGGGCCAAAGAGGGGGACCUUCGGGCCUCUCGCGUCAGGAUAUGCCUAGGUGGGAUUAGCUAGUUGGUGAGGUAAUGGCCCACCAAGGCGACGAUCCCUAGCUGGUCUGAGAGGAUGAUCAGCCACACUGGAACUGAGACACGGUCCAGACUCCUACGGGAGGCAGCAGUGGGGAAUAUUGCACAAUGGGCGCAAGCCUGAUGCAGCCAUGCCGCGUGUGUGAAGAAGGCCUUCGGGUUGUAAAGCACUUUCAGUCGUGAGGAAGGUAGUGUAGUUAAUAGCUGCAUUAUUUGACGUUAGCGACAGAGGAAGCACCGGCUAACUCCGUGCCAGCAGCCGCGGUAAUACGGAGGGUGCGAGCGUUAAUCGGAGUUACUGGGCGUAAAGCGCAUGCAGGUGGUUUGUUAAGUCAGAUGUGAAAGCCCGGGGCUCAACCUCGGAAUAGCAUUUGAAACUGGCAGACUAGAGUACUGUAGAGGGGGGUAGAAUUUCAGGUGUAGCGGUGAAAUGCGUAGAGAUCUGAAGGAAUACCGGUGGCGAAGGCGGCCCCCUGGACAGAUACUGACACUCAGAUGCGAAAGCGUGGGGAGCAAACAGGAUUAGAUACCCUGGNUAGUCCACGCCGUAAACGAUGUCUACUUNGGAGGUUGUGGCCUUGAGCCGUGGCUUUCGGAGCUAACGCGUUAAGUAGACCGCCUGGGGAGUACGGUCGCAAGAUUAAAACUCAAAUGAAUUGACGGGGGCCCGCACAAGCGGUGGAGCAUGUGGUUUAAUUCGAUGCAACGCGAAGAACCUUACCUACUCUUGACAUCCAGAGAACUUUCCAGAGAUGGAUUGGUGCCUUCGGGAACUCUGAGACAGGUGCUGCAUGGCUGUCGUCAGCUCGUGUUGUGAAAUGUUGGGUUAAGUCCCGCAACGAGCGCAACCCUUAUCCUUGUUUGCCAGCGAGUAAUGUCGGGAACUCCAGGGAGACUGCCGGUGAUAAACCGGAGGAAGGUGGGGACGACGUCAAGUCAUCAUGGCCCUCACGAGUAGGGCUACACACGUGCUACAAUGGCGCAUACAGAGGGCAGUAAGCUAGCGAUAGUGAGCGAAUCCCAAAAAGUGCGUCGUAGUCCGGAUUGGAGUCUGCAACUCGACUCCAUGAAGUCGGAAUCGCUAGUAAUCGUGGAUCAGAAUGCCACGGUGAAUACGUUCCCGGGCCUUGUACACACCGCCCGUCACACCAUGGGAGUGGGCUGCAAAAGAAGUAGGUAGUUUAACCUUCGGGAGGACGCUUACCACUUUGUGGUUCAUGACUGGGGUG
Molecule: ribosomal RNA, 1477 nt
Filed under: uncultured bacterium
Lineage: Bacteria
Description: bacterial SSU rRNA
Rfam family: Bacterial small subunit ribosomal RNA
Source: RNAcentral